This 253-nucleotide ribosomal RNA is filed under the name uncultured bacterium. RNAcentral's name for it is "partial 16S ribosomal RNA". It matches the Rfam family "Bacterial small subunit ribosomal RNA", at positions 524 to 776 of the family's 1533-position model. The record is from RNAcentral.
UACGAAGGGGGCUAGCGUUGCUCGGAAUCACUGGGCGUAAAGCGCACGUAGGCGGCUUUCUAAGUCAGGGGUGAAAUCCCGGAGCUCAACUCCGGAACUGCCUUUGAUACUGGAAAGCUUGAGUUCGGGAGAGGUGAGUGGAACUGCGAGUGUAGAGGUGAAAUUCGUAGAUAUUCGCAAGAACACCAGUGGCGAAGGCGGCUCACUGGCCCGAUACUGACGCUGAGGUGCGAAAGCGUGGGGAGCAAACAGG